This 627-nucleotide long non-coding RNA is filed under the name Oreochromis niloticus (Nile tilapia). RNAcentral describes it as "lncRNA (ENSONIG00000035335.1)". The record is from RNAcentral. Lineage: Eukaryota; Metazoa; Chordata; Actinopteri; Cichliformes; Cichlidae.
AUGAAUAAAUGGCGAAAACAAUAUAAUUAUAACAUAUAUUUUUAUUUUACUUAUUUUAGGUCUGUGAAGCCAAACUUGAUGCUGGGGAUUUAUUUUUGUCAGUGGAGUCAAAUGGUUGAAGCAGAAUUUGCCCGUCUUACAUCUGUUGACCUGAAAGGGUUCCUUUUUGCUGUGCUUGACCAUUAUGGAGAGGUUCGUGGAGCUGUACAAAAUCAAGAGCGGCAUAGGAGGGCUAACUAGGCUCAUAAGAUGCUUCGGAGAUGAUAGCCCUACACAAAGGAAGAGGACAGAGGACCUCAUUUUCUAAAGGAAGAUCCCUCACACACUUUCAAGACUGUGAAGGUUAGCAUUGUUUCUUUUAGUAAAUUUAAUAAUGACAGCACCACAGUGGAUUUUAAAUGAAACAUGUGGCAUCUAUGAAACAAUAGAUGCCACAUGAUAACAUGUGUACUUUUUCCUCACCAAAUGUAUUAUUACAAGAUCUUUGACACUGGAUUUGGUCUGGGUUUCAGAGAAACUAACUGGCAAGCUAGCAUUGAUAUUAUUAGUGUCUUGUGUUUAUUCAUGUCUUCACCAGGGUCUUUGACAUUUCGCUGCUGUACUGUUCACUUCAGCUUUACGUUUGAU